Molecule: ribosomal RNA, 98 nt
Filed under: uncultured bacterium
Lineage: Bacteria
Description: partial 16S ribosomal RNA
Rfam family: Bacterial small subunit ribosomal RNA
Source: RNAcentral
UACACACCGCCCGUCACACCACGAAGUCAAUUGCACCAGAAGUCACUGUCCUAACCGUAAGGAGGGAGGUGCCCAAGGUGCGGUCGAUGAUUGGGGUG